RNAcentral lists this small RNA (51 nucleotides) under Arabidopsis thaliana (thale cress). RNAcentral describes it as "ATSL090520". Lineage: Eukaryota; Viridiplantae; Streptophyta; Magnoliopsida; Brassicales; Brassicaceae. The record is from RNAcentral.
AAAGGUGUUAGAUGAAAUGUCUGAACCACUAAUUCCAGAGAUUUGUGGCUA